CCACCUUUAGUGACGGACCGGGCGACGGUUUGGUUCGUUGUUAUAGAACAGAUAAACGGUUUAUAUGUUAUGGUAACGGUUCGAUGCGCUGUUAAAAGCUAAGACGACGGUUCUCUGAUGUACGCGACAGACCGAACCGUCACCCGGUCCGUCGCUAAAGGUGGUGAGCAAUGUAUGUUAAAUAAAGGGGUAUGCAUUUGAUCCUCUCCGUAUAUAUACAUAUAUACGAUUAAAUAGUAUUUUGUAUUUCAAAACUUAAUAUAUAUAUAUAUGUAUAUAUAUAUAUAUGUAUAUAUAUAUAUAUAUGUAUAUAUAUAUCAAGUUAAUGCAUGUAUAUAUAUCAAGUUAAUGCAUGAUAUAGAAUAAGUUAAUCAAACAUGUUACAAUAUUUCUAACUUUAUCAUAAUAGUAACAUAGUAUUUUACAACAUUUUUUUAUGAGAUUCUUUUAAUUAGCUCAUUAAUCAUACAAUAGAGAUCGACUUAAACAUCAUUUUAGGCGUUUAGGUUUCUACUCAUCUUUGAGCUCUAAAUUUUUUAAAUUUUAAUAUAAAUUAGAAAGACGGAAUAUUAAAUUAAAGAAAUUAUAUAAAAAAAAUCUGAAUACUAAAUUAAAAAAUUAUAUCAAAACUGAAUAUUAAAUUAAAAUAACAAAAAUCACAUUUUUAAACAUUCAGGUGCGAGUCUGCAACAAUUGUAUCCGGUCUAUAUUCAUUCGUCUUUUCAAACAAAGUCUGGAUAUUUUAAUAACAAUGGUAAGUUGAUGUGUGAAAAUUUUAAAAAUAUUUUAUAAUCGUUAUAUAUAAACCAAAUAAAAAAUUAAAAAUUAUGAUAUUUGAAAUAUAAAUUGGUGGUUCGCACGGCUCACUUACCUACUUAGAGGGAAUUAGAGGGAAGUGUAAUUUGGGGAGCCGAUCAGUUUCAUCACUUUAUCAGUACCCAAUCAAACACUCAAAACAUCAUGUAUUGAGAAGCAUCGAAAUACGCUGAUUGCGAGAGCCAGAGGAGAGAGAAAAUGGUGGGAUCGGACAAUACAACGGAAAAACCCAACGACGUUUCUGUGGAGGUGCAUGGUAGGAGAAGAAGAAAAUGUAAGGAAUUGGACAGGCUGGACAAUUAAGAAAAAUUUAGUAAACAGAGAUAGGAAAUUGGAUUGAGAGAGGAGAGCUAGAGGAACUAGAGUGGGGGAGAAGAAAGAACAGUUAAUAGAGAGAAACAGAUUCGUUAUUUUCAUUCAUGACUGCUAAAUGUGAUAGAUCACAUACAUAUACUCUCACCUCAGCAAAAGGAUGAAAGAACUAAGCACAUCAUGCCCAAUAUCAGAUCUAACAGAAUUACAGUAAAAAGACAAUAAAGACCAUAUUUAAACAAUUAAAGGACUUAAAUACCCUCUCGCUUAACUAUCUAGAUUAAUCUCACUUAAUUAAUUUAACUAACUUGAUUAGCUAGCUGUGUUCCCCCUUAAAGGGGCCCUUGUCCUCAAGGGUUGAACUGAGGAAACCUUUUGUGUAAUUAGUUCCAAUUCUCCGAUAUAGCUUCCGAGGGCAGAGAAUUUGCCCAUUGAACCAAUACCUCCACCACUUUAGCUGCAUUAUUCCUCUUAACCAUUCUCCUAUCAAGGACAUCAAUGGGUUCCACUAAGAAUUCUCCAACUGAGUCCAUAGGGGAUAAUAUAGGGGAGACAGUGCAUUGUGAUCCAAUUUUCUUCUUAAGUAAAGAGACAUGAAAAAUUGGAUGUAUCCUGGCUUAACGAGGUAGUUGGAGUUUGUAAGCCACUGAGCCAAUUUUGUCCUCCACCAAAAAAGUUCCAUAAUAGUCAUCUUCCCAUGUCUUACCUGUGUCAAUGAAGUUUGUUUGUAAGGCUUAACCCUAAGAUAAACCAUAUCUCCUGGCACAACAGACCUUUUUGUCCCGUGUUUGUUAACAUAGAAUUUGAUUUUGGACUGAGCCUCCACCAAAUGCUGCUUCAUCAUCUGUAGCAAUUGGGAUUUAUCCUUGCAAAACUGCUUGGUGGUAAGGUUAUGAAUUUGCCCAAACUUACGAAAGUUUAGGUGGGGAGGUUUAUACCCAUAGAGCAUUUCAAAAGGGGUAGUUUGUAAGCUUGUGCGGAAAUGAGAAUUGUACCACCAUUCAGCUAGAGCCAACCAUGAAACCCACUUGUGAGGCUUUUGAGUCACCAUGCAUCUGAGAUAACAUUGUAGAACUUGAUUUACUCUCUCAGUUUGCCCAUCUGUUUGUGGGUGGUAAGCUAUUCUCAUCUGCAAUUUGGUACCCACCAUUUUGAAAAGGGACUGUCAGAAAAGGCUAAUAAACACCUUGUCUCUGCCAGAUACUAUGGUAGUAGGUAGUCCAUGCAGCUUAUAGAUGUGUAGAAGGAAGUCCUGAGCCAACUGUGCAGCAGUGAAAGGAUGUUUUAAUGCAACAAAAUGCCCGUAUUUUGUGAGCCUGUCCACCACCACCCAAAUCACUGUCAUUCCUUUUGAAUUAGGCAAGCCUUCUAUGAAAUUCAUUGAAAUAUCAGUCCAAGGGGUCUCUGGGAUGGGAAGAGGUUGCAGCAGUCCUGGAGAUGCUACAGUUUCAUGCUUUUGCUACUAACAGACAUCACACUCCUUCACAAAAAAAUAGUGUCAUCUUGUCUUAAAGUAGGCCACCACAAAAACUUGUUGAUCCUUUCAUAGGGUCCCCUAAUACCUGAGUGUCCUCCAAUAGGAGAACUACGGAAUUCAGUCAAAAAACUUCCUCCUUAGAUCCAAAUCUGGACCUACCACUAGUUUAUUCUAGAAUUUAAGUCUGCCAUGGAGGAAAGAAUAGCCAGGAAGGGUGUCUGGUUUUAGUUGCAGUUGGGUUAUGAUAUUCUUCAUCACAUCGUCUCCUGCAACCAAGUAGGAACUACUGAAGUUAUAGUGUUGCAGUUAUCCAUAUUGUCUUGAGUGAUGGCCAGACAAGGGUUCUGAAGUGAGGGUUCCCCCAUUUUUCUAGAGAGGCCGUCAACCACUACUUUUUCCUUUCCCUUUUUGUAUGCUAUCUUAUAAUCAAGUCCCAUCAAUUUAGUUAUCCACUUCUGUUGGUUUGUAGUUGUAAUCCUUUGAUCCAGCAAAUAUUUUAGGCUGUGGUGGUCUGUCUUAAUGUAGAUCUUAUUACCUAACAGGUAGUGUCUCCACUUGUUAACAACAUAAACCACUGCCAUUAGUUCCUUCUCAUAGGUUGACCACCCCAGAUGUUGGGGUGCUAUUGCCUUACUUAAAUAGGCUAUAGGUCUCCCUUUCUGCAUUAACUGCCCCAAUGCCAUAAUGUGAGGCAUCAGUUUUCAAAAUAAAGGGCUCAUUGAAGUUUGGCAUGGCCAAGACUGGAGCCUAUGUCAUAGCUUCUUUCAAAUCCCUAAAAGCUGCAGUUGCCUUUUCACUCCAGGUAAACUUGUCCUUCAAUAGGUCAGUUAGAGGUUUACUGAUUAGCCCAUAGUUUCUUAUAAACCUCCUAUAAUAUCCAGUUAGUCCCAAAAUACCCUCAAUCCCUUUAUGUUAACUAGUAAAGGCUAAUUGGUCAUGCAACAAUAUUUUCCUUGGUCAGAGGAAAUACCUUCAGAAGUAAUCUCAUGGCCUAGAUACUGCACUUGUUUUGUUCCAAAAACACACUCCUCUUGGCAAACAAACAAUGGUCUUGCAGUAAUUGCAAAGUCAGCCUCAAAUGCUCCAAGUGCUCUUUAUAACUGCUAUUGUAAACCAAUGUCAUCAAAAAACUAGCACAAAUUUCCUUAAGUAUGGUUGGAAUACCUCAUUCAUUAGAGAUUGAAAGGUGGCUGGGGUAUUAGCGAGCCCAAAAGGCAUUAGCAAAACUCAAAAUGGCCAUUAGGGGCUCUAAAAGUUGUUUUUGGUUUGUCUUCUUUGUUGACUCGAAUUUGGUGGUUUCCAGACCUUAGAUCCAAUUUAGAGAAAAAAUUUGAGCCAUGUAACUUAUCAAGCAAUUCAUCAAUUGUUGGGAUUGGGAAUUUGUCUUUUACUGUCAUAUUAUUCAGUGCCCUGUAAUCUAUACACAUCCUCUAGGUGCCAUCAUGUUUUUUGACUAGGAGAAUUGGAAAAGCAUAAGGGUUGUUGCUUGGUUGGAUGAUUCCAUUCUGCAACAUUUCUUUCACAAUCUUUUUUAUUUCACCCUUCUGGACAUAAGGAUAUCUGUAGGGCCUGAGGUUCACUGGCAGGCUACCCUCAUUUAACAUGAUGUGAUGAUCCUGGGUUCUUGUUGGGGGUAGUCCUCUUGGCUCCUGGAAGACCACAAAUAAUUCUUGCAACAGACUUUCCAUUUGAGGGCAUCUCCCAUUAGUAGAGUCACCCUCAUGCCAUCCUCUGUCCACAUAUUUGCCCUUGUUGUUGCCCUGGUCCCCCAGCUCAACCACCUUCUCUUCCUUAUCUUCCUGGUACAUCCCAAACAAAUAGCCAAAAUACCCAUGGGAUGCAGACUUGAGCACCCUUUUGAACUCACCAGAAUCCAUGUAGUGCAUGAGUUAAAUGUUUUUUUGGUCACUAUACUUUAGGUCAACUUACAAAUGGAUAACUGAACUUUUUUUUUUACAGUCAAUUAACUAUACUUUACUUUUCUAACACAGUUAAAAAACCCGUUAAGUCCUUUGACUUUAAACGGAAAAUGACACCUAAGCUGCUGAAUUGUAAAAAAAAAAGCUGAUGUGGUAGUGCUUAUGCGACGUGGCUAUGAUUAUGUGAAUCUGGUAGAAAAUUUUAUGAAUAAAAUGAAAAAAUAUUUUAAAGAAAGAUUUAUUUAGUUAUUUUUAUAAUUAAUAGCAAAUGUUUUUUUAAUUCUGGUUGUAAUUUCCAUACGCCAGAAUUAAACUACAAUCUCACUUUAACUCUCUCGUAGCAUGAAUCUGAUGCUUCUUGAACAUCUAGAGAGAGGAUUGUUGGGUGGUGGAUGAUCGGCGGGGGGAUAUGUUGGAAUUUUUUUAGUUCUGUUGGGUAUUCAAUGGAAUUUUCUGGGUUUCAGGUAGAAGGUGGAGAUGAGAAAGGGCGACGGAAAGAGGAGCAAAUACGACGUCGGGUAAUGGCUCGAGUGUACAGGCGAAGCAUAAUUUGUUACAAAUUUUAUGGAUUUUUUAUUGGUUAUGGUGUUUAAUCGGAGAGAGGAGAGAAAUUGGUCUAGUUGCAGAGGGCGGUCAUGGCGGUAAGGGAAGUGAAAUGUAUACCAUGUGCAAUGGGAACCAUAUGGCUAUUAUUCGUUUUGAACUUCCGAUUUGAAUGCUAUAUUUCUCUCUUAAUGUUCAGAUUGGAUUUUUGUGGGAACUGAUGAGGUCCAUCGCCGGAUUCUGGUUUCGUUAGGUUUUGAUGGUACCAAUUUGGGAUGGUUCCUUUACCAGUAGUUCAUUUUAAUUUUCUUGGCUUAGAUUGAUUGUGUUGGCUUGGAUUAAUUGUUGUACUAGCAUAUUUUUAAUUAUAUUUGUAAAAAAUUAAACAAAAAUUCAUUUAAUAUUAAUUAAAAAAUUAAUUAAAUAUAUGUUUCAUUUAUUUUCUAAUUUUUUGGCAAACUUUUCUAAUUUAUAUUAUUAUAAUUAAAUACAAAUUUAUUUGGUAUUAAUUACAAAAAUAAUUAAAUAUAAUUUUCAUUUAUAUUCUUAUUUUUUUGACCAAAUUUUCUAAUUUAUAUUAUUAUAUUUGUAAAGAAUUAAAUAAAAAUUAAUUUGAUAUUAAUUACAAAAUAAUUGAAUAUAUUUUUCAUUUAUUUUCUUAUUUUUUGACUAACUUUUCUAAUUUAUAUUAUUAUAUUUGUAAAUAAUUAAACAAAAAUUCAUUUGAUAUUAAUUACAAAAUAUUUAAAUAUAUUUUUUAUUUAUUUUCUUAUUUUUUUUGGCAAACUUUUCUAAUUUAUAUUAUUAUUUGUAAAGAAUUAAAUAAAAAUUUAUUUGGUAUUAAUUACAAAAAUAAUUAAAUAUAUUUUUCAUUUAUUUUCUUAUUUUUUUGGCUUAAUUUUCUAAUUUAUAUUAUAUUUUAAAUUUAUUUUUUUAUUUUCUCCAUAAAUUUUUUCUUUUAGAUCCACAUAAUCAAGGCCACGUGAGAUAAUUCUUGACACAUGCUUUUUUUUUUACAAGUCAACUGCUUAUGUGUCAAAUUCCGUUUAAAGUCAAAUGACUUGACAGUUUUUGUAACGGUUUGUAGGAAAAGUUAAGUUCAAUGAGUUGACUGUAAGAAAAAAAGUUGAGUGACUCAAUUGUAAGUUGACCUAAAGUAGAGUGACCUAAUCUGUAAUGUAUGGUUGGGAUCACUUGAUCAGAUUCACCUUGCAGUACCAUAGUCCUUCCUUUUUUUUCCAAACUUAACUGCAAGUUAUGGAAAUCAAAGGGGGUAAAAUGCAAAGUCGACCACUGAACUUUAGGGGUUUUUGGGUAUUGAGCCCUUUUCUUUUGGUCAACGCAAAUUGAGUCCCUUUUUAUUAAAAAAUUUGGACUUUGAGCCCCAAGCGCCACACAUGCGUUGACCUGCCUACGUGGCGCCUAUGUGGCAGAUUUGACGUGGACAUUGUUCAUUUUAUUUUACAAGUGGACGAGCUGACGUGGCCAUUUUUAAAAUUUUUUUCAAAAUUAUGUAGAUGUACAGAUUCGAACACGGAACCUCUAAGUUGGAACAUUGGUACAAUGACCAACUGAGCAACAUGGGAAUUAUUGUUAUUAUUUUGCAAGGAUUAAUAUUUAUAACUAAACAAUUAAAUCCCCAAAUUAAAAGACAACAGAUCCCAAGCAGUUCCCAUAGCAAACUUUAAGGAUAUAUUUACCGGAGAAAACAUAUUUUAAUUAAAUAUAUUACCUAAAAUAUUACAUAAUUUUCGGUAAAUAUUUUAUUUAUUUAUCUAAAAUAUAUUUUAGGGUUAAGUUCAGAUGACCACCUGGGGUUUAAGCGGUUUCUCACUUAACCACCUGUAGUCAGUAAAGUUACAUUUAAACUCUCAACUUUUUGAGUUGAAGUGAAAACGUCACCUUUUCCAUCCAAUUUAACCGUGCGUGUAUGUCAAACGCCAAAAACGCGUGAAAAGGGCUAUAACAAUUAAAAAAAACAUGAUAAAUGUCUGAAAUACCCUUCCUCUCUUCUCCUCUUAUUCUCCAACCCAGCUCUCUCACUUGCAUCCUCUCUCUACGCUUGCCAUUCUUCCUCUCUGCAGUAAUGGUUUCGAGCGGAGAGCGUACGGAGAUAGCUUUCUUCGACGUCCGACCUGCCGACCUCUCUCUCAUCUCCAAAAUGUCAGUCGACUGCAACGGCAUCACCUGCGACGGCGUUGUUUCUGCCCCCACUUUCUCCCAAAUUGCUAAUAGGUUUGAUUGUGCUCGCAUAAGAGAGGCGUUUACGCAGAUUAAUUGAUUCAUUGGCACUGUUGACCCAAAGGUUCGGAAAUUUGGAAAUUUGGAAAUUCCAAAUUUUCUUUUCUUUUCUUUUCAUUUUUUGGAAAUUUGGGUGAAUAUAAAGAAAGAAAUCAGUAAUUGAAAAUUCAUGUGUUCAAUACAUGUGUUCAAUACCUAAUUCGCAUAAGAGUCUAUAUUCGCCUAUAUUUCUCGUUGCUUCAGAUGCUAAAUUAGGGGUAGGGUUCAGGGUUGAAAUGUUGAAUAUCGGAGGAGGAGGCAGAUUUUAUUGGGUUUGAAAUGAUGACACCGCCACAAAAGUCAAAGGAAUUGUGGUAAUAUUCACAUGGGUUUCAGUUCAGGAUAGUUAAUUGAAGGAUUUUGUGAAUCUUUAUUCUUCUCUUCAAUGGAUCUCACUUGUUUGUCAUUCUGAUUUCCUCAACCCGUAAAAGUUCAAUUCCAUAAUCUUUAGGAAUUGUAUAGAAUUUUGUUAUAAUUGUUUUUAGCUAAUUUGCAUUAAAGUAGUUGAAGAUAGUUGUAAAAAGUGAAGCUCCAUUACAUACAUACUUUGUCAAAUAUUAUGCAAAAAUUAAGUGUAUUAGCUUAGCCCAUUGACCAAGCUCAGUAAGAUUUGGUUUCAGCUAAGUGGUAAAGAUUUGGUAUGAAGCUAAUUUUAGGGGAAAUAAGAGGGAAUUUUUCGGUUGUUAAGUUUAAGAAAUGAAAUUGCUUUUAAUAUGUUUUGGUAGAAUGUAUAUUUGGGGUUGAGACAUUGAUUUCUUCAUUUGGGGUUGUACAUUUGUUCAUUUAAUUAUAUUAUGGACAUCCCAAAAAAAAUUCAAUGCAAAUGAUAAACAUGUUUUCUGUGAUUUGUGUCUGAUUGAGCCAGUCCUAUUUCUCUACACAUUCGAUCAUGUGGUUUGGAUAUGUUUAUUUGCUGCUGUUGUUGGACCAUUGGCUUUCUGUUGCUACUGCUGGCUUUCUUCUUUUGAUGCUGCUGGAAAUUUUGGAAAUUUGUUUUUUUUUUUUGAUUGAGAAGGAAGAUGGAAGCUUGCUUUGUAUUCUCUGCUCCCUUGCCUGUAAGGGUAAUUAAGUCUUUAGUCAACUCAAGUAACGGAGUUAUGACGGAAAGCAUUUAUUCAUAUUAACUCAAAAAGUUGGGAGUUUAAAUGUAGUUUUACCGACUACAGGUGGUUAAGUGGGAAACCGCUUAAACCCCAGGUGGUCAUCUGAACUCCCAAUAUAUUAAUUAAUCAUUAAUUAAAAUAUUAAAUAUAUUCUCGAUAAAAUAUAUUUAAUAUUAAAAUAUUAAAUAUAUUUUACUUAUAUUUUCGGUAAAAUAUUAAAUAUUAUAUUUAAUAUUUUAGCCCCAUAUUUGUUUUAUAAAUAUUAAAUAAUUUCCAGUAAAUAUUUUUUUUAAUUUACCUAAAAUAUAUUUUAAUUAAUCAUUAAUUAAAAUAAUAAAUAUAUUUCUGGUAAAAUAUAUUUAAUAUUAAAAUAUUAAAUAUAUUUUACUUAUAUUUCCGAUAAAAUAUUAAAUAUUAUAUUUAAUAUUUUAGCCCCAAAUUUGUUUUUUAAAUAUUACAUAAUUUCCGGUAAAUAUUUUUUUUAUUUUAUAAAUGUGACUUUUUUUGUGGAGCAAAGCAAGUAAUUUGAAAUUUGGAGAAAAGCUAUACUUGGAGUUGUGGAAAAGCUAUACUUGGAGUUGCUGUGGAGAAACAAGUAAUUUUAAUAUUACGUUAAUUUAAUUUGGCGAUCUAAUUGUUUAGUUAUAAAUAUUAAUCUUUGCAAAAUAAUAACAAUAAGGCCCAUGUUGCUCAGUUGGUCAUUGGACCAAAUUUCCAAACUAGAUGUUUCAAGUUCGAAUCUGUGCAUCUACAUGUGGCGCCUGGGGCUCAAAGUCCAAAUUUUUUAAUAAAAAGAGGCUCAAUUUGCGUUGACCAAAAGAAAUGGGUUCAAUACCCAAAAACCUCUAAAGUUCAAUAGUCGACUUUGCAUUUUACCCAAAUCAAAGGUGACUGGAUUAAAAGAUUGCAAUCACUUAACCCCCAGAAUUGCAUCUAUGCCUCCUGGAGGUAGUAUUCUAAAGUCUGUUUGGAAUUCCUUCCCUUGUAUGGACCAUGGAAGUCCUGGGCAGUGCUGAUGGCCUUGAAUCCAUCUGCAGUAGUCACAGUGAUAGUAUUGGUUUCCUUUACUGCACAUCCCUAAUUCUCUUAUCUGCCUGAGGAUCUUCGAAAUUGUUGGUGCUGCCACCACCAUCCACCAAUAUCCUCAUAAACCUUACCUGUGACAUCCCAAGUAGUCUGAUAGUAUUAUUAGUACUGUGUCCUGAGAGGGCAUGCAGGGUGAUUUGGGCUUCUUGGUCCUCGCCUUCUACUGGCAAACUCCCUUUCUCAACCUCCUCACAGGAUUCAACCUCUUCAGGCUCUAGGUCAUCUAAGGUUGAAGGGAGCAACAUGAAUAAUUGUGGUUUCAUACAUAUGUGGCCCUGCACAAAGGGUUCAUCACAUGAGAAACAUAAUUCCUUCCUUCUCUUUUUAUGAUUUGCUCCCUAGUCAACCCCCUUACAGGUAAUUUUCUCAGUUUCCCCAUUACCUUUGGCAACAGGUUUGUGUUGUGGCAUAAGUACAGGUUUAGAAUAGGUAGUGCUCAUAGUGGGCUUAUUUAUCACCUUGCUCCUUUUGUGCCAAGCCUCCAGUUUAGCUUCCUCCACCCUAGACAAUCUGAUCAUGUCCUUGAGUGUUUUGGGCUCAAGUUCCUGGAUCCCCAACUGAAUUUCCAAUUUUAAUCCUCCCAUGAAGCAGUCCAUAAAAAACUCAUCAUUAAGGAUUGGAUUCCUUGCUAAAGCCCAACCUCUUAAUUCCUCAAAUUUUCUUCUGUACUCAUCAACUGACCCAAUUUGUUGUAGUUUCUUCAGUUCCUCUAUGGGGUUAUCACUAGCCUUUGGGCUAAAUCUAGCCACAAUCUCCUCUAUCAACCCAUCCCAGGUUAGCUCUUGGCCUUCUUGCACAAACCUUGACACAACUCAGCCUCUCCUUCCAAACUCAAAGUGGUCAUGUACACCUUCUGGGAUUGAGGUAGUGUGUGGUGUGAAAAGAGCUCAUUAUAUUUCCUAAUCUAUGACCUAGGGUUCUUCCCAUUAAACUUAGGGAACUCAAACUUAACUGUUUUAAAAAUAUCAUCAAACUUAUCUGGUUUAGGAGGGGGCUCAUAGGGGCCCAAGAUGGAACCGAAAGGAGGACUUGAGGGACCUAGCUGAUUGGAAUCCUUUUGUUGUAUUCGUUGAGCUAAAAGCACCUCAAAGCUCUUCAUCAUCUGUUCCAGCUUGGUAUCAAAUUCCUGCUGUAGUGUAGAAACUGAAUAUAGCAACCGAGUCUGCAGCUGCUGUAUGGUUGUGGUCUGUUCAUGAACAUGAGUUUCUAAAUUGCUCAAACGUUGAUUAUUGGUGGCCAUAGUCGCAGGUAGGUUUGGAAGCUCUGAUACCAAUUGUAAGGAAUUGGAUAGGCAGGACUGGACAAUUAAGAAGAAUUUAGUAAACAGAGAUCGGAAAUUGGAUUGAGAGAGGAACUAGAGUGGGGGAGAAGAAAGAACAGUUAAUAGAGAAACAGAUUCGUUAUUUUCAUUCAUGACUGCAAAAUGUGAUAGAUCACAUACAUAUGCUCUCACCUUAGCAAAAGGAGGAAAGAACUGAGCACAUGCUCCUUACUCAUGCCCAAUAUCAGAUCUAACAGAGUUACAGUAAAAAGACGAUAAAGACCAGACUUAAACAAUUAAAGGACUGAAAUACCCUCCCACUUAACUAUUUAGAUUAAUCUCACUAAACUAAUUUAGCUAACUUGAUUAGCUACUUGUGUUGCUUACAGGAAAUUCUUACAAAUCUAUGCGAUGCUACACAGAACACUGGUCGCGAUGUUCUUUUAUGGACUCGCCACUGCAGUCCUCUCCGUGCUCUCAUUGUUUCUGUACAGACAUUUGUAAAUUAUUAAUUUGAUUGAAUUAUGUUUUAGUUGAUUAAUUGCGAGUGUUUUGAUUGGUUGUGCAUUUUGUUCUGUUUAUUUGAUUUUUGGAAUUGACUUUCCUUUUCGGUGAAAUUUAAAUUGCUGAUUUUGACCUGGUUAUGUGAUUUUUGAAAGAAUUGAGUGUUCAAUACUAACCAAUCUAUUUGAUUUUGGAGUUUUGAGUGUAAGAUUUGAGAUUUUGGCAUCAAUAGUAUGAAUAACCUCAAAGAAUGGGAUAGUUUUAGUUGAGUGAUAGACGUAGCUAGGGUUAGUAGAGGAUAAUUAAUGGCUAAUGGGAUGUAUGUUUCCAUUGUGCUAAAGCUGGUAUGCAAAACGGUGUGAGCUGUUUAUUACUCAAUUCAACACAUACCUCAAAUAUUUGAAGUAGCUUUCAACAAUAAAAACCUAAUUGGUUAGCCCAUGAUUUGUUCAUAUGACUCGAUAUAUAAUAUGAAAGCUCAAUAUAUUUAAUAUAAUUAUUGUUUAUCCCUUGGUUCAAAGGGGAUGAACAAAUAAUGCUGAAGGUGCACCCUUGGCAUGAACAAAUAAUUCAGUUAUGAUGUGUAUGAAAAUUAAGUUCUUUAUGCACCAUUAUAGUGCGUGUGGAAAGUUCACAUCACAUCGUAAUUUUAAAAUUUUCCAAAUAAUAAAUCACCUUUGUUGAAUUUUAAUCUUAUAGUGGAUUGUACAUUAAUAUUCAAUUCCUAAACUACCCAAACUAGAACUACCAGUUCACUUUACGAAAUUAAGAAGUUUGAUUUUAUUGUUGAACGCUACUCCAAAUAUUUGAGGUAUGUGUUGUAAAUAAAUAAUAAUAAGUAGACGUUUAAUUUUUAUUAUCAAAGAUAUUAAAAAUAAUAAGUAGUGUUCAAAUAAUAAUAUUUGAGGUGAUAGAAUAUAUAAUAAUAAUUUAUAAUGUAAAUAAAUAGGUAUUCAAUUAUUUAUGGACUUUAUUGAAUUCUAAUCAAAUUCAAAUUUCGUAAAGUGAAUUGAUAGUUCUUACCUUGUUCAUUUCAACAUCUUUAUUUAACUACUUAACAUAAUUGUAAAGUCGACUACUUACUGCAAAACACAUUUAAAACACUUCUUACAUUGUUCAUUUCAACAUCCUUAUUUAAAUACUUAACAAAGUUGUAAAGUUGACUACUUAAUUACUCCGAACACUUUUUAUCCUGCUCAUUGCAACUUUCUUAUUUAAAUACUUAACAUAGUUGUAAAGUUGUUAAGUUGAAGUGAGUCGGUGGCCGACUGCUUCAGCAACCAGUCAUUCAUCCUCAAUAUUUCUUUGUUCAAAUCAACGUGUCUCUUCAUCCUCAAUAUUUCCUUGCUACAUAUCUAACUGUCAUCCAUCACUCUGUCUCUUCACCAGUUGCAUACCCAACUGUUGAUUUCUCUGUAGUUGCACUCGAUGCAACUAAUACUACAACAUCUAAUACAGAAGAUAUCAGCGGUAAUGAUGAUGUUGUGGAGAUCCUUCUAAAGGAACUUCAGGAUAUGGGGUUCAAGCAGGUUGAUUUGAACAAGGAAAUAUUGAGGAUGAACCGUACCUAAAGCUCUCUCUCUCUCUAUAUAUAUAUAUAGAGAGAGCUUCCUAUGAGGGUGGUCCGCAUGCGAACCACCUUUAGCGACGGAAAAACUCGUUGCCAUAGGGUCUGAAUCGUUGCGAUAGCUCAGAACCGUCGUUAUAGCCCGGUUCAGACCUUAUGACGACGUGUUUAGCGACAAUUUUGUUCGUCGCUAAAGGUGGUCUGUAUGCGGAUCACCCGCAUAGAAAGCGGACUAUAUAUAUAUAUAUAUAUAUAUGAACAUUAAUAUUUAAAUUAUAUAAUUUUCUUAAUCAAACUCAAAUUGGAACUAGUAGUUCACUUUAUGAAAUUAAGAAGUUUGAUUUUAUUGUUGAACGCUACUUCAAAUAUUUGAGGUAUGUGAUGUAAAUAAAUAAUAAUAAAUAGGGCUUUAAUUAUUUGAACGCUACUUCAAAUAGGGGUUUAAUUUUUAUUAUCAAUGAUAUUUAAUAGUUUUGAUUGUGAAAUUGUAAUUUUUGUAUGAUAAUUGUAAUUUGAAUAUAUAUAUAUAUAUAAAUUGAGUAUUAUAAAUAAUUUGUCAUUUUAUUGGCGACUAGUCAACUGGUUGCUAAAGCAGUAUGCCACCGACUCGCUUCAACUUAACGACUUUACAACUAUGUUAAGUAGUGUUAAAUAAGGAUGUUAAAAUGAACAAGUUAAGAAGUGUUUUAAAUGUGUUUUGGAGUAAGUAGUCGACUUUACAACUAUGUUAAGUAGUUAAAUAAGGAUGUUGAAAUGAACAAGGUAAAAUGUGUUUUGAAUAUGUUUUGGAAUAAGUAGUCGACUUUACAACUAUGUUAAGUAGUUAAAUAAGGAUGUUGAAAUGAACAAGGUACUAACAGUUCACUUUACGAAAAGUUUGAUUUUGAUUAUAAUCCGAUAAAGUCCAUAAAAAAUUAAGCACCUACUUAUUUACUUUAUUAUUAUUAUUAUAUAUCUUAUCACCUCCAGUUAGAGCUGUGAAGGAUCCUCCAAGUCAAACCGAGUUUUGACGUUUGGAGAGUUCACUAAAUAACUAAACAAGUCAAAUAUGUUGUUCAAUAUUGGCUACCUUAUGUUGUUUUAUUUAUCUGCUAAUUUAAUAUCUAUAUAUGUUCACGAGCUAUUCAUGUGUGCUGUGUUGAAACACAAACAAGCCACACUCGAACUCAAUUUAUAUUUCUUAUAUAUUAAUACAAUUAUUACUUUUUGAAAAGGAAGUGAUAAACGCGCUCCACUUUUCACCAUUAGCGCUCCAAUGUAAGGUUAAAAUUGAACAAAUUUUGUGCUAUUGUGAAGCGUAACUUGUAAAGUAUGGGCUUAAUUAUCAUAUUUUACCAUUCACACUGAGCUUUGCAAGUUAAAGUUAUUUAAAUGUCUUUUUUGACUGACUUGUUCUUUGGCAUUGAUCGUGUAAUUUUCGAUAUUUAUAUAGGAAUCCUCUUCUUUUGAUGAUCAUUGUUAAAAUAAGUUCAUCUUCCUAUAAUUUAUGUUAUUUCUUAAGCUCUUCAAUUAUUUCUACAGGUGAUGGUUAUUGUUGUUGCGCCCCUCAUAAAGAAUCUUUUAUCUAGAGAACUCUACUUUCUGUUAUGAAGUCUAAGAUGAAGUGUGCUACUGCCAAAAUUGCUUAUAAGGUGAUCUGUACUUGGCCCUUUGUUGGGGGUUUGGUAGAAGAGAAAAUUGCACAAAAGCUACCCCCAGUUAAGCUAUUGUUUUAAAGGCAGAUGAUGUAAGAAGGUAAGGAAAUGAGAACAUCUCUAGUGUAGUAAUCAUUUAACUCAUUUUAGUUUCUCUGCACAUGGAGGCUCUUUGAAAUUUUCUGAAGGUGUCACAUCAAACUUUUAGGCUCAUGCCCUAAAUGUAUUGCCAUAAGAAUAUAUUUUUGCAUCGUCUUACCUGAAACUUGUUUAAGUGUUGUCGCCUCUCUAGUUUAGUAUUGAUUAGGCAUAUAACUUAAGGCUCUAGUGAUCGAGAUUAUUCCACUACCUUCUCUCUGUUACAUAAAUUGAUCAUUAGUUUUAAAGGUAGACUGGGUCAUCCACAAAUUGUUUCAAAUAUUUCCCCUGAUAAGUUGGCCCAAUUUUGGGCCACUCUAAUAUGAAACUAAUGCUGACAUUUGGAGUUUCAUGAUUAGUCUAUACUUUUGUGCCUUUUGAUAAAGAUUAAACUUUUUGGUUACUUCAAUUUUCAUUUGGUUAUUCUUAAUGUGAGAUUGAUUUUUAUUUUCCUUGUUUAUAAUUUUCUUGUAUUUUUUCCAAG
This 15124-nucleotide long non-coding RNA is filed under the name Panax ginseng (ginseng). RNAcentral's name for it is "long non-coding RNA (PGIN_LNC015902)". The record is from RNAcentral. Lineage: Eukaryota; Viridiplantae; Streptophyta; Magnoliopsida; Apiales; Araliaceae.